AUUGUUUUUCCACUACCCACACAUUAAAGAAAUAAGGAAAUAAAGAAUGGAGGUAGAGACACGUAACUUCGUAUCAUAUUGAGGCUUUUUUUUUAUAAAAUUAAUCCAAAAAGUUUAAUUAAUUAAUUUUUUUUUUGUCUCUUGCAUCUCCUUACUACUUUAAAUAUUAAAAAAAAUUAAAAGUCCUAAAAGUAACACAACUUUUUUGUUUGGAUGGAGAGAGAAUUUAUGGUCAGCAAUUCUACUUCUUUCUUCAAUACCCAAAAGCUUUCCUGCUUUGCUUCCACUCAAACUUCCAUCAAACCUAGGUUUAAAACCUUCACAAUCAAAGCUAUCAAUUAAAAUACACUAGAAAUUGAAACCCCUUCGAUGUUACAAAGUAUGGUCUUGAAGCUGGGCUAUGGAACGUACUUAAUUCUCUUUCCUUAAUUAGUUUAUGAUUCUUCUUUAAGCCUUUACAUUGGUAGCAUGGCCUGGUUAAUGGUUGCUUUGGAAGUUUAUGGACUAAGGAAUUGAAAGGAAGCAUUUGGUAUUUUGCAAUGCAUGCGGUUCGUGAGUUUCUCUACUACUUUUGACCCUUUGGAAAUGAUGAGAAGCUAACUCUGCGCCUAUGAUUCCAUUUACUUUUUUGUUAAACAUCCCAAGAUAUUCAGGUUCAAGGAAGAAGAAAUAGAAGUCCAAGGAGCUGCUUGCCAAAUAUGGAGGAGCCUACCUGGCAACCUCUAUUACUCUUUCUUUGAUCUCCUCCCUUUGUUAUGCACUAAUUAGUGCAGGCAUUGAUGUUCAAGCUUUGCUUCAAAAGGUGGGAAUCUCAACCGAUGUGACCGGAGGGAAAGUGGGGACCUUUGCAUUGGCACAUGCUGCACACAAAGCUGCAUCUCCUAUGAGGUUUCCUCCAACUGUGGCUCUCACUCCCGUUGUUGCUAGUUAGAUAGGGAAGAAGGUUAAAAAAGACGAGCAAAAUCUGCGGCUACUUGUAUAUUCAAUGCCCUGUUUAAUAUCUAGUUUCCAAGUA
Molecule: long non-coding RNA, 1015 nt
Organism: Gossypium raimondii (Peruvian cotton)
Lineage: Eukaryota; Viridiplantae; Streptophyta; Magnoliopsida; Malvales; Malvaceae
Exons: 2
Source: RefSeq, a predicted model, not a curated record